Molecule: ribosomal RNA, 409 nt
Filed under: uncultured bacterium
Lineage: Bacteria
Description: bacterial SSU rRNA
Rfam family: Bacterial small subunit ribosomal RNA
Source: RNAcentral
GUGUCAGCCGCCGCGGUAAAACGUAGGGGGCGAGCGUUGUCCGGAAUUACUGGGCGUAAAGGGCACGCAGGCGGUACGCCAAGUCGGGGGUGUAAAGUUACGGCUCAACCGUGACCUUGCAAUCGAUACUGGCGUACUGGAGUGCGGGAGAGGGAAGUGGAAUUCCCGGUGUAGCGGUGAAAUGCGUAGAUAUCGGGAGGAACGCCAGUGGCGAAGGCGGCUUCCUGGCCCGCGACUGACGCUCAUGUGCGAAAGCCAGGGGAGCGAACCGGAUUAGAUACCCGGGUAGUCCUGGCCGUAAACGAUGGGUGCUAGGUGUCGGGUGUCAAAGCUCGGUGCCGCAGUUAACGCGAUAAGCACCUCGCCUGGGGAGUACGGUCGCAAGGCUGAAACUCAAAUGAAUUGGCGG